AUAAGAGGGCGCUAGAAACCUUUGGCUUCCUUCUUCGCUAACUGCUGCUUAGAGAGAAGAAGAAAAGCCUGGAAGUAAACGAAAACAACCCGAAAACAACCCCAGCGCGUGUAGUGCUUCUGUUGUUUUGUUUUAUUUGCAUUUUGUGUGUGUGUGUGUGUGUGUGUGUGUGCGCCUGUGUACGCAUUUUAUGGCCGUCUCGCCAUCUCUUGCAGGAAAAAAGAAGCGAUCAACAGAAGUAACAGCCAGAGCUAGGAGGAUCUUUUAUGUUUGUUUCAAUGUGGCCAAUGGGAUUUCGCUUAACCAAGCGACCACUCAAACUGGCCUAACAAUGACAGACGUAUCAGGUUGGAAUACCAAAAGAAGAAAGAAAGAACCUCAAAGCAAGAAAACUUCACCAGGUACCUCAAGUUCGAUCACCAAGUCCCCAAGUAAUCUGGUAAGGGGACCUACUGACCAUGAACAACUGGAGUGUACUCCACGGAGAUCCAACAGAAUGAUUAAACGGAUCCAAGAGCAGUGUGUAACCUCUACACCUGUCAAAGCUUCACCUUUCCUGUCCGGACUUGCCCGCCGCUGUUCCAACAAAGUGCAAAGGAUAUCAGACACAGAAUCAUCAGGCAACAAAUCAAAUCCAAGAAAGCCCAAGAGGAGUCAAACAUCUAGACAAUUACUUAAAAGACAGAGCUGCAGAAGCAACAGCAGCCAUUCUCAAUCAAAACGUAGCAGUAAAAUAAAAACGGACGCACAAGAACAUUUUAGGGAACAAUCUCAACGAUGUAAACCAAGAAUCAAUGUGGACAUUUCAAGUUCAGGCGAGCAAGAUGAGUCUUUGCCAUCGUCAGACCUAUCAAUAGAGCUUAGUUUACAUGAGGAACCACAGGCACGAGACUCCUUCCCUGAGGAUGAGGAGAGUCAAGAAGAG
RNAcentral lists this long non-coding RNA (925 nucleotides) under Neogobius melanostomus (round goby). RNAcentral's name for it is "lncRNA (ENSNMLG00000003930.1)". Lineage: Eukaryota; Metazoa; Chordata; Actinopteri; Gobiiformes; Gobiidae. The record is from RNAcentral.